UGUAUGCUCAUGGUAUCGACCUCGAAGGGUGUUUCGACGCCGUUAACCUUGAUAACCUCGAUCUGGUUCGUACGAUCCACCGUGACUAUAUCAACGCCGGUGCUGAACUGAUUGAAACCAAUACCUAUGGUGCGAACCGGCUCAAGCUCGAGCGCUUCGGCCUCAGCGAUAGAGUUUUCG
Molecule: unclassified non-coding RNA, 180 nt
Filed under: plant metagenome
Description: partial contains 5.8S ribosomal RNA, internal transcribed spacer 2, and large subunit ribosomal RNA
Source: RNAcentral